Molecule: ribosomal RNA, 253 nt
Filed under: uncultured bacterium
Lineage: Bacteria
Description: partial 16S ribosomal RNA
Rfam family: Bacterial small subunit ribosomal RNA
Source: RNAcentral
UACAGAGGGGGCGAGCGUUGUUCGGAAUUACUGGGCGUAAAGGGCGCGUAGGCGGCCUUCUAAGUCGAACGUGAAAUCCCCGGGCUCAACCCGGGAACUGCGUCCGAUACUGGGGGGCUUGAAUCCGGGAGAGGGAUGUGGAAUUCCGGGUGUAGUGGUGAAAUGCGUAGAGAUCCGGAGGAACACCAGAGGCGAAGGCGGCAACCUGGCUCGUUACUGACGCUCAUACACGACAGCAUGGGGAGCGAACGGG